AAAGUGGUCCGCGCAUGCGCUGUUGGAAGUUGCGAUCCAUGCGAGAGGUUGGUGAGAAUCAUCAGGAGGAAGAUGAAGCGAGUAUUUACCAUUUCAGAGAAGGUAGUUGCAGGUAAUCUUUUACAAUACCGCUGGCAGAAAACGUUGGGUAACUACAUAGCUGUCACUGGGUCUGAUCACACAGUGAAGAUCUUUGACCGACAUGGGCACAAAAGGAAUGAACUUAAUCUUCCAGGAAUUUGUAUUUCUAUGGAUUGGGAUAAAGAUGGAGACACCUUGGCUAUAAUUGCAGACAAAUCAAAUACCAUCUAUCUAUGGGAUGCAAACACUCACAGAACAUCACAGUUGGACAGUGGUAUGAGGGACCAGAUGUCAUUUCUGCUAUGGUCAAAAGCAGGAUCACAACUUGCUGUUGGAACAACCAAAGGAAAUCUGCUUAUUUAUAACUUACAGACUUCCCGUAAAGUCCCAGUCCUUGGAAAACAUACAAAACGCAUCACUUGUGGUUGCUGGAGUUCCCAGAAUCUGCUUGCAUUAGGUGGUGAAGACAAAGCAAUAACUGUUAGCAAUCAGGAUGGCGAUACCAUUAGGCAGACCGUAGUGAGAGCAGAGCCAAGUGACAUUCAAUUCUCUGUGAUGAAGACUGAUGAACGGGCAUCAAUGGGAGAAAGCACGGUCAGUGUCGUUGUGGGGAAGAAAACACUAUUCCUGUUUAAUUUAGGCGAUCCUGAUAACCCUGUUGAAUUAGCAUUCCAGCAACGUUAUGGCAACAUUAUAUCUUACAGAUGGUUUGGAGAUGGGUACAUCAUGAUUGGCUUUUCUCAAGGUUACUUCGUAGUAAUUUCAACGCACAUUCGUGAGAUUGGCCAAGAACUAUUCCAAGCCCAUAAUCAUAAAGACAGUUUGACAAGUAUUGCCAUCUCUCAAUCCCUGAACAAAGCUGCUUCCUGUGGAGACAACUGCAUUAAGAUCCAUGAUCUGUCAGAAAUGAAAGAGAUGUAUGCUAUUGUAAACCUGGAUGAUGAAACCAAAGGUCUGGAUCAGCUAUCUUGGACAGAUGAUGGACAGUUGCUUGCUGUAUCUACACAGCGUGGAACACUACAUGUUUUCCUCACAAAACUUCCAGUUAUUGGAGAUACUUGUGGUACCCGCAUUGCGUUCUUGACAUCUCUGCUGGAGGUCACAGUGGUCAAUCAUGUAGAGGGAGAACCAGAAACCACAGUUUCUGUUGAAGUAGAGCCUAACUUUAUCGCUGUAGGCCCAUAUCACGUGGCUGUUGGUAUGAAUAAUCGUGCUUGGUUUUAUGCCCUUGGAGAGAAACGAGUGGAGAAGCUAAAGGACAUGGAGUAUUUGGGUACUGUAACUAAUAUGUGCUUAAAUUCAGACUAUGCAGCAGUGCUUUUUGAGGGAAGAGUUCAGCUACACAUGAUCAGUUCCAGCUUCGAUUCUAUGCUCCCAGUUAUGCAGCAGAUUGAAAUGGAAGGUAUAGAAGCACAGGAGGAAAGAGAAACUCGUCUUUUUCCUGGACGUGAUGAUAAGUACCGAGUUACAUGCCAUGCGCUUGCUGCUGACUUCUUAAUCUAUGGAACAGAUAGUGGCAUCAUUCAGUAUUUCUAUAUUGAGGACUGGCAAUAUGUGAAUGAAUAUCGACAUACAGUCAGUAUCCGUAAAGUUUUCCCUGAUCCCAGUGGAACCAGAAUAGCAUUCAUUGAUGACAAGAGUGAUGGCUUUGUCUAUUGCCCAGUAAAUGAUAGCGUAUAUGAGAUCCCAAAUUUUCCCACAACUGUAAGAAGCAUCCUCUGGGAACACUUCACAAUGGAUAAAGGAGUCUUUAUUGCUUAUGAUGAUGAUAAGGUGUAUACCUACGUCUUUCACAAGGGCACUAUUCAAGGUUCCAAGGUCAUAUUGGCAGGUGCUACUAAACUUCCAUUUUCUUAUAAGCCACUGUUGUUAUAUAAUGGAGAAUUAACCUGUCAGAUGCAGAGUGGGAAAAUCAACACUAUGCUCUUAAGCACACAUUCUUUUCUUGGUGGAUUGAAAGACCUUGGAGUUAAUGACCUUCAAUCAGCUUUAACCCAGAGUUUAAUGCUGAAAAGGUUUACUGAAGCAUGGAGUGUGUGCAAAAUAAUUAAUGAUCCUCCAGCAUGGACCGAGCUAGCACGUGCCUGCCUCCACCACAUGGAGGUGGAUUUUGCAAUACGUGUAUAUCGAAUAAUUGGAAAUGUAGGAAUGGUAAUGUCAUUGGAAGAGAUCAAGGGAAUAGAAGAUCACAACCUACUGGCUGGACAUCUUGCAAUGUUUGCAAACGAAUUUAAUCUAGCACAAGAUCUGUAUCUGGCCUCCAGUUGUCCAAUUGCUGCCCUAGAGAUGCGGAGAGACUUACAACAUUGGGACAGUGCUUUGCAGUUAGCAAAACGAUUGGCUCCUGAUCAAAUUCCAUUUAUCUCCAAAGAAUAUGCUAUUCAACUGGAAUUCACGGGCGACUAUGUCAAUGCAUUGGCACAUUAUGAGAAAGGCAUGACUGGAGACAAUAAGUACCUUGACCAUGACGAAACUUGUUCAGCUGGAAUUGCAAGAAUGUCAAUACGUAUGGGGGAUAUUCGACGUGGAGUCAACCAGGCAAUCAGACACCCCAGCAGAAUUUUGAAGAAAGACUGUGGUGUUAUUCUAGAGAGCAUGAAGCAAUUCUCUGAGGCUGCUCAAUUAUAUGAAAAAGGACAGUACUAUGAAAAGGCUGCAUCUGUUUACAUUCGUUGUAAAAAUUGGGCAAAAGUUGGUGAACUUCUCCCCCAUGUAACAUCUCCUAAGAUACACUUGCAGUAUGCAAAAGCUAAAGAAGCUGAUGGCAGAUAUAAAGAAGCUGCAACAGCUUAUGAAAAUGCCAAAGACUGGGACAAUGUAAUUCGAAUUCAGUUGGAUCAUCUCAGCAAUCCAGAAGAAGCUGUUCGUAUCAUCCGUGAAACCCAGUCAAUUGAUGGAGCCAAAAUGGUAGCUAGGUUCUUCCUACAUCUUGGGGACUAUGGCUCUGCCAUCCAGUUCCUGGUGAUAUCUAAAUGUAAUGAUGAAGCCUUUCGCCUUGCACAGCAACAUAAUCAAAUGGAAGUUUAUGCAGACAUCAUUGGUCCUGAUGCCAGUAAUGAAGACUAUCAGAGUAUUGCAUUGUAUUUUGAAGGUGAAAAGAAACAAUUCCUUGCUGGAAAAUUCUUCAUGCUUUGUGGCCAGUAUGCACGAGCAUUGAAACACUUGUUGAAAUGUCCAGUGUGUGAAGAUGGCCAAGCCAUUGAGAUGGCUAUUGAAGCAGUUGGACAAGCCAAGGAUGAAGUUCUAACUAAUCAACUGAUAGAUUAUUUAAUGGGCGAAAGUGACGGAAUGCCAAAGGAUGCAAAGUAUCUUUUCCGCCUGUAUAUGGCAUUAAAGCACUAUCAGGAGGCAGCCAGAACAGCAAUAAUCAUUGCCAGAGAAGAACAAUGUGCAGGAAAUUAUAGGAAUGCACAUGAUGUGCUCUUUAGUAUGUACACAGAGCUUAAAGCACAGAAGAUCAAAAUCCCUUCAGAAAUGGUAACAAACCUUAUGAUUCUGCACAGCUACAUCCUGGUAAAGGUAGGAGACCAAAACCCAUGUAUGAAUGAUUUAUGCCUUAUGACCUUGAUAUUACAUGUUUACUGGACACUGUUGGUUUGAAAAUAUCCACGUGCUUACUAUCCCAAAUCAGUCAUUUCUAAUGUUUUGUGCUCUUAUAUUUAACAUACACUGGGUACAGCAGCUUUUAGUAUCUCCUUGGUCUUUUUUAAACAAUUCCAUUAGUUUCAAACUAAAUAUGCAAAAAGAUAGGUCAGGUCCACAGGUUGAGAUUCUAAAUUGGAGAAAGGUCAAUUUUGAUGGCAUCAGAAUUGAUCUGGCAAGUGUGGAUUGGAACAGGCUGUUCUCUGGUAAAGGUGUACUUAGAAAGUGGGGAGCUUUCAAAAACAAAAUUUUGAGAAUACAAAGCUUGUAAGUGCCUGUUAGACUAAAAAAGUAAAGAUAACAAGUGUAGGGAAUCUUGGUUUUCAAGGAAUAUUGAGGCCCUGGUUAAGGGAAAAAAAGGUGCAUUGCAGAUAUAGGCAAGUAGGAACAAAGGAGGUGCUAUUGGAGUAUAAGAAAUGCAAGAGAACACUUAAGAAAGAAAUGAGUAAGGCUAGAAGAAGGCAUUAAGUUGUUCUAGCAGACAAGGUGAAGGGUUUGCAAGGUACAUGAUUGGUCCUCUGGAAGACCAGAAUGGUAAUCCAUGUAUGGAACCAAAACAGAUGGGGGAGACUUAAAUGAUGUUGGUGAGGUAGUAAUGAGGGACAAAGAAAUAGCAGAUGAACUUGGGGGGGGGGGGGGGGUUCAUUGUGGAAGACACUAGCAGUGUGCCAGAGAUCCGUGAGUGUCAGAGAGCAGGAGUGACGUUAAUGAGGCCUAAUUUGGAGUAUUGUAUGCAGCUUUGGACAACUGUCUACAGGAAAGAUGCAAGGUUGAAAGAGUACAGAGAAAAUAUACAAGAAUGUUGCUGGGUCUGGAGGUCCUGAGUUAUAAGAAAAGAUUGAAUAGGUUAGGACUGUAUUCUUUAGAAAGUAGAAUAUUGAGAGGAGAUUUGGUUGAGGUAUACAAAAUUAUGAGGAAUAUAGAUCAGCUAAGAGCAAGCAGGCUUUUCCCCACAGAGGUUGGGUGAAGCUACAGCAGAGAUCAUGGCUUAAGGGUACAAGGUGAGAAGUUUAAGGAGCACAUGAGGGGAAACUCAGAGGGGCAUGAGAGUAUGGAAUGAGCUGCCAGCACAAGUGGUCCAUGCAGGAUCGAUUUCAACAUUUAAGAAAAGAUUGGAUAGGCAUAGGGAUAUGGAAUGCAGAUCGAUGGGAGGAGACAAUUUAGAUGGUUUCAGCAUGGACUAGAUGGGCCAAAGGCCUGCUUCUAUGUUGUACUUCUCUAAUCCACCAGCCCCAAAAGAAUAUCAUUGACAAGGCCAGUAUUUAAUGUUCACCUGUAAUUGCCCUUCAAAGAGUAGUGGUAUUAUGCUGUUAACUGUUAGACCAAUUGCCCCAAUAAUAGAACAAUCGACAAGCCUUCAAAUUACUCAAUAAUAUCAAAAAUGAACACAGUUGAGAAUAAAGUGAUACAACUCUUCUAUUGUGCUUAACUGUCCCAGAGUAUGUUACGUGAAUAUUUUUCCCCCUCAGCGAAGGAGAAAAAAUGCAGCGGAAAUUGUGCUCUCUAGUGGCCACACAAUUGAAAAGCAUAGUCAAAACAGUCAUUGAAGUAGAUGAAUUAGGAAAACUAAAACUCACGUGAAGCGUGGGGACCAUAUGAAAGGGGCAAGGAUGCUCAUUAGAGUUGCAAACAACAUCAGCAAGUUUCCAUCUCAUAUCGUACCCAUUCUGACAUCAACAGUAAUUGAAUGCCACCGAGCAGGAUUGAGG
RNA transcript from Hypanus sabinus (Atlantic stingray), 5432 nucleotides. It is a transcript of the gene named WD repeat domain 19, with no coding region annotated. The record is from RefSeq and is a predicted model, not a curated record. Lineage: Eukaryota; Metazoa; Chordata; Chondrichthyes; Myliobatiformes; Dasyatidae. The transcript is spliced from 34 exons.